RNAcentral lists this transfer RNA (63 nucleotides) under Pelistega indica. It matches the Rfam family "tRNA", at positions 6 to 65 of the family's 71-position model. From Rfam's summary of the family: Transfer RNA (tRNA) molecules are approximately 80 nucleotides in length. The record is from RNAcentral. Lineage: Bacteria; Pseudomonadati; Pseudomonadota; Betaproteobacteria; Burkholderiales; Alcaligenaceae.
UAUAGCUCAGUUGGUUAGAGCAGAGGACUCAUAAUCCUUUGGUCGCUGGUUCAAGUCCAGCUG